CAGUCGCCGCGGUAAGACAGAGGAUGCAAGCGUUAUCCGGAAUGAUUGGGCGUAAAGCGUCUGUAGGUGGCUUUUCAAGUCCGCCGUCAAAUCCCAGGGCUCAACCCUGGACAGGCGGUGGAAACUACCAAGCUGGAGUACGGUAGGGGCAGAGGGAAUUUCCGGUGGAGCGGUGAAAUGCGUAGAGAUGUGGAGGAACACCAGUGGCGAAGGCGACUCUCUGGUCUGUAACCGACGCUGAGGAGCGAAAGCGUGGGGAGCGAACAGGAUUAGAUACCCCAGUAGUCCCUGUCUCUUAUAC
This 301-nucleotide ribosomal RNA is filed under the name uncultured bacterium. RNAcentral describes it as "partial 16S ribosomal RNA". It matches the Rfam family "Bacterial small subunit ribosomal RNA", at positions 509 to 807 of the family's 1533-position model. The record is from RNAcentral.